AUUAAAUUGGUUUCAGAAAACAGCAACACCAACUUCAGCCAUGGAAAAAUAGUGUAACAUGAAUUUGUGGUGGUGAUGAAGGAUUGUUCAUCAGUAACCAGUCAGCAAGCCACACUACAGGGUCAGCAGGUUUCACUUUACAUAGCUGGGCCAACCCUUCCAGUAAAGUAGGAUUCACACUUUCAGCUAAGUAAUCUGUCACUGCUUCUCCAGUCAGCAGAGGUUCCAGAAUCACUGAAAUGAAAUAUAUGUCACAUAGAUGGCCCUGGGAGAACUUGGUUCAGGAAAGUGACGUCCAAGCUGCACAGGCAAAAGUUGAAGUAAGAAGGGUAAAGAAACUAAGUUGACAAUGUGAUGAGAUGGAAACUGCUUGCUGGAGGUUUGAUCAGAGACUAACAGUGAGAUGUUAUCUUCAUCGCCACAUGAGGCCUAGCCUCAUUUGCAGAGGUUAUGCAUCAUCACUUGAAGUAGAACAGUAACUGAUAAAAUGCUUCAACUUUCAUAUAAUAUAGUUUUAUAUUUCCAUACCACAUUUCAUCAUU
This is a long non-coding RNA of Cryptotermes secundus, 542 nucleotides long. RefSeq lists it as uncharacterized. The record is from RefSeq and is a predicted model, not a curated record. The transcript has 3 exons. NCBI's taxonomy places the organism in Eukaryota, Metazoa, Arthropoda, Insecta, Blattodea, Kalotermitidae.